GCCAUUGUGGCUCAGUGGUUGAGCAGCCACCUGUGCACUGGGAGAUCCCCGGUUCAAUUCCGGGUCAGGGCA
This is a non-coding RNA of Myotis lucifugus (little brown bat), 72 nucleotides long. The record is from Rfam. NCBI's taxonomy places the organism in Eukaryota, Metazoa, Chordata, Mammalia, Chiroptera, Vespertilionidae.